UCCGCGGCCAUCGUCGCUCGAUUGCCGCCACGCACGCCACAGAGCCUCCCCAUCCCUAUAAGCACACCCAGGGAACCCUAGAUCGAGCUCGCCCGAUCCCCUCUUUUUCCCCAUCGUGCCCCCUCCUCAUCUGCUCGAAAUCGAGCGCAAGAGCUCGCGCGGUGAUUGCGCCGUCGUCAUGGUUGCCGUAGCCACUGGCCACCGUUCGCCGUCCGCUGAUGCCCAGAAGAAGCGCGUCGUCAUCCUCUUCUUCCACGUCAAGCGCCACCAGCUAGGACGGCCUCGUGCCGUCGCUUCCGUCGAUCCCCUCUGCGGGCAACCGUCGUUGUCCGUCGUCGACGCGCUCGACCCUGCCUCCCCCUCCGGUCGGCGGAGAAUGCCGCCACCACGCCGUCGUCACCAAGCCUCCCCCGAGCCCGCGAACGCACAUCUGCAGGGCCCGACCCUGAGACUGCCGGCGACCCCCGAUCGACUACGGUGUUGACGACCCCUGCUUCUUGCCAGAGCAACCAGAUGCCGGAGCCCAGGACCCAGACGCCACCGUCGACGACGACUCAUACUACACCGGAGGUGCCUACUGCUACGUGCAGGCCGCUGACGACGACCAGGAGUAGUGUAGGAGGAUCCCAGGCAGGAGGCUUGCGCCUCUUUCGAUCUGUAUCCCAGUUUGUGCUAGCCUUCUUAUGGCAAACUUGUUUAACUUAUGUCUGUACUCAGAUAUUGUUGCUUCCGCUGACUCCUCUAUGAUCGAGCACUUGUAUUCGAGCCCUCGAGGCCCCUGGCUUGUAUUAUGAUGCUUGUAUGACUUAUUUAUGUUUUAG
Molecule: ribosomal RNA, 821 nt
Filed under: Triticum aestivum (bread wheat)
Lineage: Eukaryota; Viridiplantae; Streptophyta; Magnoliopsida; Poales; Poaceae
Description: partial small subunit ribosomal RNA
Source: RNAcentral